The sequence is a ribosomal RNA, 584 nucleotides long. The stretch from base 206 to 359 matches the Rfam family "5.8S ribosomal RNA".
AAAGUCCGUAACAAGGUCUCCGUUGGUGAACCAGCGGAGGGAUCAUUACCGAGUGUAAAAACUCCCAAACCAUUGUGAACCUACCACUGUUGCUUCGGCGGCCUCGCCCCGGGCGCGUUCGCGCGGCCCGGACCCAGGCGUCCGCCGGAGGCUCCAAACUCUUGUCUUUUAGUGUAUUUCUGAGUGGCAUAAGCAAAUAAAUCAAAACUUUCAGCAACGGAUCUCUUGGUUCUGGCAUCGAUGAAGAACGCAGCAAAAUGCGAUAAGUAAUGUGAAUUGCAGAAUUCAGUGAAUCAUCGAAUCUUUGAACGCACAUUGCGCCCGCCAGUAUUCUGGCGGGCAUGCCUGUCUGAGCGUCAUUUCAACCCUCAGGACCCGUUCGCGGGACCUGGCGUUGGGGAUCAGCCUGCCCCUGGCGGCGGCUGGCCCUGAAAUCCAGUGGCGGUUCCCUCGCGAACUCCUCCGUGCAGUAAUUAAACCUCUCGCGGCAGGAUAGCGGUUGAACCACGCCGUUAAACCCCCCACUUCUCAAGGUUGACCUCAAAUCAGGUAGGAAUACCCGCUGAACUUAAGCAUAUCAAUAA